GUCCAGGGAUGCCUAGUGGACAUGGCAUCUGCCCGGUAAGCGGAACAUUGUGGGUUCGCUUCCUAUCCCUGAACA
RNAcentral lists this transfer RNA (75 nucleotides) under Cordylochernes scorpioides. RNAcentral's name for it is "tRNA-Thr". It matches the Rfam family "tRNA". Rfam says of the family: Transfer RNA (tRNA) molecules are approximately 80 nucleotides in length. Their secondary structure includes four short double-helical elements and three loops (D, anti-codon, and T loops). Further hydrogen bonds mediate the characteristic L-shaped molecular structure. tRNAs have two regions of fundamental functional importance: the anti-codon, which is responsible for specific mRNA codon recognition, and the 3' end, to which the tRNAs corresponding amino acid is attached (by aminoacyl-tRNA synthetases). tRNAs cope with the degeneracy of the genetic code in two manners: having more than one tRNA (with a specific anti-codon) for a particular amino acid; and 'wobble' base-pairing, i.e. permitting non-standard base-pairing at the 3rd anti-codon position. The record is from RNAcentral. Lineage: Eukaryota; Metazoa; Arthropoda; Arachnida; Pseudoscorpiones; Chernetidae.